This 69-nucleotide transfer RNA is filed under the name Caliris sp. JZ-2017. RNAcentral's name for it is "tRNA-Ser". Lineage: Eukaryota; Metazoa; Arthropoda; Insecta; Mantodea; Haaniidae. The record is from RNAcentral.
AAGAUGUGUUUAUCAAAUAAAAGCUGCUAACUUAUUAUUUAAGUGGUUUAUAAUCCAUUUACAUCUUAU